Long non-coding RNA from Camelus dromedarius (Arabian camel), 876 nucleotides. RefSeq lists it as uncharacterized. The record is from RefSeq and is a predicted model, not a curated record. The transcript is spliced from 4 exons. Lineage: Eukaryota; Metazoa; Chordata; Mammalia; Artiodactyla; Camelidae.
UCCAAAUUGGAUAUUUCAUAAACCACAGAAGGAAGAACAGACGUUCUUUACUUUUCCUUCCUAGAUCCUGAUAAUACAGAAAACUGUAACCGGGCCACAGGUCUGAGGUCUGGGACUUCCUGCCUGAUUUCGCUCUUCUGGAAAUACAACGCUGCAUGAAAGAGGCAAAGACCAUAUUUACCUGCUUUACAGUGAGGGAUGCAGUCAAUACAUAAUUUUUGGCAAAGAGGAAUGAAAUCUGAAACUGGCAGCUAAUGACCUAUGGGACAAGAUGCAGAGGCUGUUUGAAUUUACUGUUCCUGUCAUCAUUACUAAGGCCAUGGGCCUUCAGACUUGGACUGAAAUCUACACCACUGGAUCUCCAGCUCUCAGGCCUUUUAACUACACCAUUGGCCUUCCUGGGUCUCCACCUUGGUCAUGGGACUUCUCAUCCUCCAUUGUAUGAGCCAAUACCUUAUAUGUACUCCAUGUCUCACUGAUGCUGGAAAACUUUCUCACUUCAUGAAGAGAACAGAAGGUAUGGCAGAUUCAUUCAUUGCUAAUCAAAUUGAGCCUUUUGAUGUUUCACUUCCUCCUCUAAGACGAAGUUAGAGGUGCCAGGAAUAUGGAGUUGUGACUUGUGAAUCUUCUUGAUGAUUCACAUGUACACAGGAGACCAAAAAACACUCAAGACCCAUAUAGAAGUAGGUGACAGAUACUGAACUGCAGUGUAUCCAAGGGUGCAGGAUUUUUAAACCUUGUUUUUCUUUUAUUUAUAGUUGGGACUUUAAGAUGGAUCAAUAUACAUGACAUACAAAAAUAAAUUCUAUUGUAGUUAGAGACGGUAACUCUCUGUGCAAGAAACUCCAGCAUUUUCCAGAAGUUUGCAUGCUUGUU